RNAcentral lists this ribosomal RNA (482 nucleotides) under uncultured bacterium. RNAcentral's name for it is "bacterial SSU rRNA". It matches the Rfam family "Bacterial small subunit ribosomal RNA", at positions 30 to 506 of the family's 1533-position model. The record is from RNAcentral.
UUGAACGCUGGCGGCAUGCCUUACACAUGCAAGUCGAACGGCAGCACGGGAGCAAUCCUGGUGGCGAGUGGCGAACGGGUGAGUAAUAUAUCGGAACGUGCCCAGUCGUGGGGGAUAACGCAGCGAAAGCUGUGCUAAUACCGCAUACGACCUGAGGGUGAAAGCGGGGGAUCGCAAGACCUCGCGCGACAGGAGCGGCCGAUAUCGGAUUAGCUAGUUGGUGAGGUAAAGGCUCACCAAGGCGACGAUCCGUAGCUGGUCUGAGAGGACGACCAGCCACACUGGAACUGAGACACGGUCCAGACUCCUACGGGAGGCAGCAGUGGGGAAUUUUGGACAAUGGGGGCAACCCUGAUCCAGCCAUUCCGCGUGAGUGAAGAAGGCCUUCGGGUUGUAAACUGCUUUUGUACGGAACGAAAAGACUCCUUCUAAUAAAGGGGGUUCAUGACGGUACCGUAAGAAUAAGCACCGGCUAACUACGU